AAGUUUAAAUCUGGGGAAAUCAAACAUGCAACAAUUAGUGAACACUGACGACUAAAGGUUGUCCAUCAAAUGUCCAUCAAAGAUUGAUAAAUCAUAAAACAUUAUACAGCACAACACAACAUACUAAUAAUCUAAUUAAUAGACUUCUAUAUUUAUACAAUAUAUAAUCCCUCUAUAUCCCUUUCAGUAGGUCUACGAUACAAAAUCCCUCUUUGUAAUUGUUAAAUGUUCUUGUUCCAAGAACAGUAGAAAACAGUAAUGAGGUACAGCAGAAAUACAGUAAUGAGGUACAGUAGAAAUACAGAAAUGAGGUACAGUAGAAAUACAGUAAUGAGGUACAGUAGAAAUACAGUAAUGAGGUACAGUAGAAAUACAGUAAUGAGGUACAGUAAAAAUACAAUUGUGACGUAGAGUAAAUUUCAACAUUACUCACUGUGUUAAUCAUGUGGUGUUUAACACUAGAGGGAGAACAAACACCAGGGAGGGAGGGUAGAGAGAGGGUAGAGGGAGAACACACACCAGGGAGGGAGGGUAGAGAGAGGGUAGAGGGAGAACACACACCAGGGAGGGAGGGAGGGAGGGAGAGAACAAACACCAGGGAGGGAGGGGUAGAAGAGAACAAACACCAGGGAGGGAGGGUACAGAGAGAACAAACACCAGGGAGGGAGGGGAGAGAGAGGGUAGAGGGAGAACACAGACCAGGGAGGGAGGGUAGAGAGAGGGUAGAGGGAGAACACACACCAGGGAGGGAGGGGAGAGAGGAUAGAGGGAGAACACAGACCAGGGAGGGAGGGUAGAGAGAGGGUAGAGGGAGAACACAGACCAGGGAGGGAGGGUAGAGAGAGGGUAGAGGGAGAACACAGACCAGGGAGGGAGGGUAGAGAGAGGGUAGAGGGAACACAGACCAGGGGUAGGGAGGGUAGAGGGAGAACACAGACCAGGGAG
Molecule: long non-coding RNA, 945 nt
Organism: Oncorhynchus tshawytscha (Chinook salmon)
Lineage: Eukaryota; Metazoa; Chordata; Actinopteri; Salmoniformes; Salmonidae
Source: Ensembl